AGGGAACCACAGAUAAUCUCAAGCAAACACCACAGGCAACAAUCCUUUCCAGUAAAUAUAUAUGAUAUUGUCAUCGAACUGAGGUUGAUCGAGUGAAACGUUGCAACAACUUCCUAGACCGUAAUGUAUAUCGCGGGUUUGAAGGUUAUAUCGGCGAGUGUUCUCGAUGUCGGUGGCCUCCGCAAGACAGUGACGAUGCUGUCUCGAAAGUGAGUUCAUGGCUGUUUAUAGAAUGCGGAAGAAAACAAACAAUUCUGUUUGAUAGUGCGAGAAUGUGGACUUUUAUCAAAUAUGAACGUCUUCGCAUCUUCAGCGAACGAUGCAAUUAGGUUAAGUUGACAAGGGACAUACGUUCUUUGCAAGUACUGCACAACAUACUAGGCAAUUUGUAAAUGUAUGCCGAAUAACAAAUUAGUAGGCCAAGAUGAAAUAUGGUUGUCCAAGGUUUCGCAUGGUGACGCUAAACAAACAUUGCAUGGCCUUAAUAAAUUAUUUACUACAAAUUGGGCAUUACGUAUUUGUACAUAUAGACAGUGUAUAAAACAGUUUACCUUUACAAAAUGCCACAUAUUACUCGAAAAUGGGAACUUUUCCCAGGUAGAAACCGAUUUUGUUGUGAUGGCAGAGUGAUGAUGGCACCGCAAACUAGAGUUUUUUAUGUGACUGUGUGCCUCAUUGCUGGAACCAGUGGUUUAUUCUUUGCUUUUGAUUGUCCAUUCUUAGCAGUUCACAUAACACCUGCUAUACCCGUUAUUGGUGGCUUACUAUUCAUUUUUGUAAUGUCUGCUUUAUUCAGAACAAGUUUUAGCGACCCUGGAGUAAUACCAAGAGCAACUCCCGACGAAGCUGCCUACAUUGAAAAGCAAAUUGAGGUUCCAAACAAUGGUAAUUCUAAAAUGUAUAGACCUCCACCCAGAACAAAGGAGGUAUUAGUGAAAGGUCAACCAGUAAAAUUGAAAUAUUGUUUCACUUGCAAAAUAUUUAGGCCACCAAGGGCUUCACAUUGUAGUUUAUGUGACAAUUGUGUAGAGAGGUUUGACCAUCAUUGUCCAUGGAUUGGGAACUGUGUGGGUAGAAGAAAUUACAGAUACUUUUAUGCUUUUAUCGUGUCCUUGGCAUUUCUUUGUGUUUUCAUACUCGCAUGUGCUGUUACACAUUUAAUAAUGCUCACAAGAGAUGGUAGACCAUUUUUAGAAGCAGUUAGAAUAUCUCCCGGAAGCGUUGUCGUAGGGGUUAUAUGUUUUUUCUCUGUUUGGAGUAUUCUUGGCCUUUCUGGUUUUCAUACACAUCUAACUACUAGUAAUCAAACAACUAAUGAAGAUAUCAAGGGAUCAUUUUCCAUUAAAAGAGGACAAGGAAGUUCCAACCCUUAUAGCCAAGGAAAUAUAUGUGGAAAUUGUUUCUACGUAUUAUGCGGACCUGCACCACCUAGCUUAAUUGAUCGAAGAGGUAUAGUGACGCCUGAAUAUCGCGCGGAACAAGAAAGAGUUAGCGAUGACAGUGUAAUCACUAGUAAUAAGACGUACGGUACUGUGAAAAUUGUACAACCACAGUCCAAUGGUACAACUGUUCAAACAAAUCCCAGUACAGAUCUCACAGGUUCGAUGAACAAUCUCGUCACCGGUCAACACUCGCCGCAAAUCGAAUCAAUAAACGGUGAGUUAAGCCUUUUGAGGCAUACCGUUCGUUAUCCUGAGGAUCUACCAGAGUAUUCACGUCAAUAUAUUAACGAUACAUAUGCUCCAACGUAUCCCCUACAGCACUGUUUUCAGGAUUCUGUAAAACAUAUAAAAUAUGAAACAGAUAGGGGUAAUCCAGAUUUCCAAAAAUAUCCAUGCAGAUGCGAGGAGAAUUUGCAUAAGUAUCCUCAUAGAUGUAGGGAAGAGUAUCAUAGAUGUUCAGAUAACAACUUAAUGUAUGAUCAGUGUGUCGGCGAUCAAAAAUUUGUUAUCGAUCUUCAAAAAUAUCCGCAAAGAUAUUCCGAGGAUCCUAUAAGAUACAAAAUCGAUGGUCCCAGUGGUUAUACCGAUCUUCAAAAAUUUCCACAAUGUUACUCCGAGGAUCCAUUACGAAUUUCUCAAUCUCAACAUAUUCUUAAAUACAAUAAUUUGAGAUGCACUGUUCAUGGGUUAAAGUAUCCAAUAUCAAAAAAUCUGUUACCAGCAGUUGUAAUGUCGCGAAUAUUGGGGGCUGGGGGAAUGCCAAUUAUCGGUCAAAACGCAAUAGGACUCCCAGUUAACAGAUUCGGUUCAGGACCAUUAAUCAAUACUUUCGCUUACGCGGAAAAUUCUUUGUGCCCAAGUGACGGUACCGAAGAAGAUCUUUUAAAUCGGAGAUUUAUCAUGAGUUCCAUGAGUGAUAACGAUGAUAUUUAAUAUUCUUUACGACAUUCGCAUUUUUUAAAGUAAUAAUAUUUAUCCCACCUAUUAAACAAAAAUUUAAUAAACGGCCAUAGCGUCACUUGUUAAGGAAAUUCUUUUAGUGUGUUACGAUUAAAAUAUUAUAGGUACUAAUACUCUAUCCGUUUACUAUUAAAAGAAAACUUACAACAUAAACUUUUUAAAAUGUACAUAACGAUUAUCAAAAGUAUACUAUAUAAAUACUAUAAAAAAAGUACAUUAAUGGCAUUAACAAAGAUUAUUAUUACGAUGAUUGUUCAUGUUUUCUCGCGCUGCAACUUACAGAUUUAUACAAACGAAGUGCAUUCAAGUUGAAUUUUGUUGUUAUUAACAGAGAUUUAUUUAUUUUUCGAAUAUUCAAUUUAGUAUUAAGCACAUAGAUAUGUUUUUUAAAAAUGAGAAGAAAGAGAGAAAUUAAUAUUCUUGUUACAGUGUUAUAUAUAUCUUGACUGAAAAAAGAACUGACACAUUAAUUUCAUUACAACUUUUAAUAUUUUGCAAUGACACACAUUAAAUAGUACAAUAUUCAUUGCGUUCGUUUAAUCUAAAGCAUUUAAUCACGAAAUCGUUUUCGCUAUAACAUUGAUCUUUGACAUUAUAAAGGAUCGUGUUUGAAUAUAAAUAUUAUCGACUGCAUUGGAUAAAUUUAAGUUUUUUUUUUUUUUUAACAUUUCGCUAUAUUUCUAUAUAAUUCAAUAAAUUGUGUUUCUCUGUUGUUUAAAAUUACGUCCUGUUAUCGAGGGCUCAGAGCAUACCAUUUGGUAGUACUACAAACAGCGUGAGCCAACUUGUUACCAACGAAGUACCACUAGCAUCACUUAAUAUAGCUCCAAUUGAUAUCGAUGAAAUUGCUCCGCUACCUCCCCGUCAGAGUGUUGUGAUUUCUUCUACGUUGGAU
Hylaeus volcanicus is the source of this 3297-nucleotide RNA transcript. It is a transcript of the gene named palmitoyltransferase app-like, with no coding region annotated. The transcript is spliced from 11 exons. The record is from RefSeq and is a predicted model, not a curated record. NCBI's taxonomy places the organism in Eukaryota, Metazoa, Arthropoda, Insecta, Hymenoptera, Colletidae.